AAAUGAUGGUUUUUUUUUUUUUUUUUUUUUUUUUUUUUUUUUUUAGAGAUAAGUAAGAUGUUAUCUGUUUCGUUUAUUCUAUUUAGAAAUAAAUUUAAUUAGAAAUAUGAAUCAACUAGAAUUCGAACUUGAAAUUUCGGAUACUAACAAGCAAACUCUUUGUCACUUGCGCUAGAGACGGUCGGUGAUUUUCAAAAAAAUAUGGAUGAAAAAAAUUCAAGCAGUAGUU
This 229-nucleotide long non-coding RNA is filed under the name Ananas comosus (pineapple). Its description in RNAcentral is "long non-coding RNA (ACOM_LNC029973)". Lineage: Eukaryota; Viridiplantae; Streptophyta; Magnoliopsida; Poales; Bromeliaceae. The record is from RNAcentral.